CAAUGCUAUAUACCUGUGUUCUGCAUGUGUUUCUUGUAUGAUAAAUAUCAUGGGAAUAUGAUUGACACAGCCUACAUAGCAUAUCACCUGAGAGAUGGACUUUUAAUCUUAAUAUAAAAGAUGGGGGACACCGCACAUGUCAAAUGAUAAUUAUGAAAGUUGAGUAUAGGGUGCAUGGGGAGUUUUAUUGUUUAAUCCAUCCCUAUAUGUUUAAACAUUUUUGUAAUAAUCUUUUUAAAAGAGAAAAUGUUGACUGCCUCAUAAGGAGAGGGAAAGACCAAAAAGAAUGGUUGACAAGGUUGGGACAAUCUGUCAAAACUAGAUUUGAGCUCUCAGUAAAGACAUUCUGGGAGUGUAAUUCCUUUGAGGUUGGGACCUUGGAAGGAAAACAUUCUAUAUAACAGGAAAAAAGGAGGAAAAGAGGAAUUGAUAGUGAAGUGUUUUUCAUGCCAAGAUCCCAUAUGAAUGGCUUCAGUUCCUUUGUGGUUUAUGAGUCCAAUACAUCUGCUAAGUGGAGAUGGCCUCAUUUUGAAGAAAGUGCAGAAGGUUUGAAAAAAAUGUGAGUAGUAUAGAAGAGUGGAUAAGGAAUCAGUGACCUAAGCUCCAUAAGGAUUGUUAACUGAAACUAAGCAUAGAAUAAUAACUUGGGGGAAUGAAUGAGUGAAUUAUCUCUAUUUAGUGCUAGUGUGUAUCAUGAAUUUAGGGUGGUUCUAGUAGAUUUAUAAGAUUUAAAUCCAACAGCAAUCAGUCACUUAUAGGAAGACAUUCCUGGAAAAGGUAGAGAGAAAGGGUUUGGCCAGAGAGUAAGGAUUAAAUGGGGUUGAAUUAGGCCCAUUUGGAGCAGUGCUAAAUGCAGGUUGCCUGAGAGAUCUUGAGGCCUACCUUGAAGAGGGAAGAAAUAAAUUAGUAGAUAAAUGAGUAAGUGCAAAAAAUAAAGACUGGGAGUUGGAAAGCUGACAAAUUGAGGGCCUAUAAUGGAAGGACAGAGGGUGAGAUCAGAGGGAAGAAAGUCAGGCUAUAUUACUCCAGUGGCAGAGGUGUUCCUGGACAUGGCUGUAAGUGAACUGGAAUAGAAGGACCCUAAUAUGGGUUAAAAGGAACUAAGAGGUAAAUUAUUGGUAGGUCUCUCCAGAUGGAUGUUGGUGACUGAUUCCUUACCCCUGCAAGUCCUUUGCCCAUGGAACCCCUGCCACUUUUUGUUCUUCCCAGAGCCUCUGCAGAGUCUGUCUGAAACACUAAGCUUUAGAUGCUGCAAAUCAAUGGCAUAACUCUGGAGUAAAAGAAGUAUGGUAGAAUGCAGGGGCUUUGGUACAUAUAUCUUUUUCAUUUCUAUUUUUACAUCCAGUAUUCAUAAAUGUCUCUGGGGAAAAAAAAAAACAAUUCAAGAGUACUCUGAGACAAUGAAACCCAUUAUUUUGUAUAAUUAAAAUGCACUAAUUAAAAAAAAAAAGCCUCUGGGAAACUCAACCCAUUUUUGAGUCCCAAUCUGUGCAAGUGCAGUUGCCUUCCCAAC
This 1513-nucleotide long non-coding RNA is filed under the name Marmota monax (woodchuck). The record is from RNAcentral. Lineage: Eukaryota; Metazoa; Chordata; Mammalia; Rodentia; Sciuridae.